This 464-nucleotide ribosomal RNA is filed under the name Blommersia aff. grandisonae 'black'. Its description in RNAcentral is "partial 16S ribosomal RNA". It matches the Rfam family "Bacterial large subunit ribosomal RNA", at positions 1964 to 2592 of the family's 2925-position model. The record is from RNAcentral. Lineage: Eukaryota; Metazoa; Chordata; Amphibia; Anura; Mantellidae.
AUCACUUGUUCUUUAAAUGAGGACUAGUAUCAACGGCAUCACGAGGGUUAAACUGUCUCCUUUCUCCAAUCAAUGAAACUGAUCUUCCCGUGAAGAAGCGGGAAUUUUUUUAUAAGACGAGAAGACCCCAUGGAGCUUUAAACCCAGUUACAUCUCUAUUUUUUAUUCCAUUUUAACCUCUAGAGCCCUGUACACCUGGUUUUAGGUUGGGGUGACCGCGGAGCAUAAAUUAGCCUCCACAAUGAACGGGAAUUACUCCCUUACCUAAGAACUACACCUCUAAGAAUUAGUAUUCUAACAUAAAGUGAUCCGACUAUUCGAUCAACGAACCAAGUUACCCUGGGGAUAACAGCGCAAUCCACUUCAAGAGCUCCUAUCGACAAGUGGGUUUACGACCUCGAUGUUGGAUCAGGGUGUCCCAGUGGUGCAGCAGCUACUAAAGGUUCGUUUGUUCAACGAUUAAA